This 496-nucleotide ribosomal RNA is filed under the name uncultured bacterium. Its description in RNAcentral is "partial 16S ribosomal RNA". It matches the Rfam family "Bacterial small subunit ribosomal RNA", at positions 28 to 523 of the family's 1533-position model. The record is from RNAcentral.
GAUGAACGCUAGCGGCAGGCUUAACACAUGCAAGUCGAGGGGUAGAAGUUGCUUGCAACUUUGAGACCGGCGCACGGGUGCGUAACGCGUAUGCAAUCUACCUUAUACAGAGGGAUAGCCCAGAGAAAUUUGGAUUAAUACCUCAUAGUAUAAUUGAGUGGCAUCAUUUAAUUAUUAAAGUUCCAACGGUAUAAGAUGAGCAUGCGUCCUAUUAGCUAGAUGGUAAGGUAACGGCUUACCAUGGCAACGAUAGGUAGGGUUCCUGAGAGGGAGAUCCCCCACACGGGUACUUAUACACGGACCAGACUCCUACGGGAGGCAGCAGUGAGGAAUAUUGGACAAUGGGCGCAAGCCUGAUCCAGCCAUGCCGCGUGCAGGAAGAAGCAUCUAUGGUGUGUAAACUGCUUUUGUACGGGAAGAAACACCCCUUCGUGAAGGGACUUGACGGUACCGUAAGAAUAAGGAUCGGCUAACUCCGUGCCAGCAGCCGCAGUAA